This 428-nucleotide ribosomal RNA is filed under the name uncultured bacterium. Its description in RNAcentral is "partial 16S ribosomal RNA". It matches the Rfam family "Bacterial small subunit ribosomal RNA", at positions 354 to 796 of the family's 1533-position model. The record is from RNAcentral.
GUAGGGAAUAUUGCGCAAUGGACGAAAGUCUGACGCAGCGACGCCGCGUGAGUGAUGAAGGCCUUAGGGUCGUAAAGCUCUGUUGAAUGGGACGAAAAAAAUGACGGUACCAUUCGAGGAAGGACCGGCUAACUUCGUGCCAGCAGCCGCGGUAAUACGAGGGGUCCUAGCGUUGUUCGGAAUCAUUGGGCGUAAAGGGUGUGUAGGUGGCCAUGUAAGUCAGGUGUGAAAGCCCCGGGCUCAACCCGGGAAGUGCACUUGAUACUGCGUGGCUUGAGUAACGAAGAGGGUAGUGGAAUUCCAGGUGUAGUGGUGAAAUACGUAGAUAUCUGGAGGAACACCGGUGGCGAAGGCGGCUACCUGGUCGAGUACUGACACUGAGACACGAAAGCAUGGGGAUCAAACAGGAUUAGAAACCCGUGUAGUCC